This 468-nucleotide ribosomal RNA is filed under the name uncultured bacterium. RNAcentral describes it as "partial 16S ribosomal RNA". It matches the Rfam family "Bacterial small subunit ribosomal RNA", at positions 28 to 507 of the family's 1533-position model. The record is from RNAcentral.
GACGAACGCUGGCGGCGUGCUUAACACAUGCAAGUCGAACGGAAAGGCCCUGCUUUUGUGGGGUGCUCGAGUGGCGAACGGGUGAGUAACACGUGAGUAACCUGCCCUUGACUUUGGGAUAACUUCAGGAAACUGGGGCUAAUACCGGAUAGGAGCUCCUGCUGCAUGGUGGGGGUUGGAAAGUUUCGGCGGUUGGGGAUGGACUCGCGGCUUAUCAGCUUGUUGGUGGGGUAGUGGCUUACCAAGGCUUUGACGGGUAGCCGGCCUGAGAGGGUGACCGGCCACAUUGGGACUGAGAUACGGCCCAGACUCCUACGGGAGGCAGCAGUGGGGAAUAUUGCACAAUGGGCGGGAGCCUGAUGCAGCAACGCCGCGUGCGGGAUGACGGCCUUCGGGUUGUAAACCGCUUUCGCCUGCGACGAAGCGUGAGUGACGGUAAUGGGUAAAGAAGCACCGGCUAACUACGUG